UACGGGGGGGAGCAAGCGUUGUUCGGAUUUACUGGGCGUAAAGGGCGCGUAGGCGGCGUGACAAGUCACUUGUGAAAUCUCCGGGCUUAACUCGGAACGGUCAAGUGAUACUGUCGUGCUAGAGUACAGAAGGGGCAACUGGAAUUCUCGGUGUAGCGGUGAAAUGCGUAGAUAUCGAGAGGAACACCUGCGGCGAAGGCGGGUUGCUGGGCUGAUACUGACGUGAGGCGCGAAAGCUAGGGGAGCGAACGGG
This 253-nucleotide ribosomal RNA is filed under the name uncultured bacterium. RNAcentral describes it as "partial 16S ribosomal RNA". It matches the Rfam family "Bacterial small subunit ribosomal RNA", at positions 524 to 776 of the family's 1533-position model. The record is from RNAcentral.